Molecule: non-coding RNA, 205 nt
Organism: Oryza glumipatula
Lineage: Eukaryota; Viridiplantae; Streptophyta; Magnoliopsida; Poales; Poaceae
Source: Rfam
AAAAAAGACAAACCCAGGUUUCCGUGUCCAACGUUUGACCGUCCGUCUUAUUUGAAAAAAUUAUGAAAAAAUUAAAAAGAUAAGUCACGCAUAAAGUAUUAAUCAUGUUUUGUCAUCUAACAAUAAUGAAAAUACUAAUUAUAAAAAAAUUUCAUAUAAAACGAACAGUCAAACGUUGGCACAAAACCCAGGGUUUGCUUUUUUU